RNAcentral lists this ribosomal RNA (253 nucleotides) under uncultured bacterium. RNAcentral's name for it is "partial 16S ribosomal RNA". It matches the Rfam family "Bacterial small subunit ribosomal RNA", at positions 524 to 776 of the family's 1533-position model. The record is from RNAcentral.
UACAGAGGUCCCAAGCGUUGUUCGGAUUCACUGGGCGUAAAGGGUGCGUAGGUGGCAAGGUAAGUUUGAUGUGAAAUCUCCGGGCUUAACCCGGAAAUGGCAUUGAAUACUAUCUAGCUAGAGGUUUGGAGGGGGGACUGGAAUUCUCGGUGUAGCAGUGAAAUGCGUAGAGAUCGGAAGGAACGCCAGUGGCGAAAGCGGCCACCUGGCCCAAUACUGACGCUGAGGCACGAAAGCGUGGGGAGCGAACAGG